AAGCGCUUGCGACCAGACGUGCGCCGGGGUGCUCAGCGGGCGUUCUCGCCCGUGCACUCGCCCCGGUGCAGGCCAGCGUCGGUUUGAGCGGGGGGAUAAAGGCGCCUGGAAUGUGGCUCCCUCGGGAGUGUUAUAGCCAGGCGUGCCAUGCCCCCGCCCGGACCGAGGUACGCGUUCUGCAAGGACGCUGGCGUAAUGGUCAUCAGCGA
This 209-nucleotide ribosomal RNA is filed under the name Chaetosphaeria sp. RNAcentral's name for it is "partial large subunit ribosomal RNA". The record is from RNAcentral. Lineage: Eukaryota; Fungi; Ascomycota; Sordariomycetes; Chaetosphaeriales; Chaetosphaeriaceae.